UACGGAGGGUGCAAGCGUUGUCCGGAUUUAUUGGGUUUAAAGGGUGCGUAGGCGGCUUUUUAAGUCAGUGGUGAAAUACAGCAGCUCAAACUGUUGAGGUGCCAUUGAUACUGAGAGGCUUGAGUACAGAUGGAGGUAGGCGGAAUUUAUGGUGUAGCGGUGAAAUGCAUAGAUACCAUAAAGAACACCGAUUGCGAAGGCAGCUUACUAAGCUGUAACUGACGCUGAGGCACGAAAGCGUGGGGAGCGAACAGG
This 255-nucleotide ribosomal RNA is filed under the name uncultured bacterium. RNAcentral describes it as "partial 16S ribosomal RNA". It matches the Rfam family "Bacterial small subunit ribosomal RNA", at positions 524 to 776 of the family's 1533-position model. The record is from RNAcentral.